Long non-coding RNA from Peromyscus leucopus (white-footed mouse), 700 nucleotides. RefSeq lists it as uncharacterized. The transcript is spliced from 2 exons. Lineage: Eukaryota; Metazoa; Chordata; Mammalia; Rodentia; Cricetidae. The record is from RefSeq and is a predicted model, not a curated record.
AGAGCAAGUCACUGGGACACCCUAAUCUCACAGUGCCACUAAGUAAAGCGUUUCCCAGGACUGACUUUUCUCCCGCUUGGCUAUCUAGCCUUUUGUAAACUGCGCUAGGACCCAAAGGGGCUUGCUACUCUAUUGCUUACUCUGGCAGCAGACUGUGGCACUGUCUAUAUGAUAAUGCAUUUGCAGAUAUGUAGACUAAGAGAGUUUUUAGCCAUGGAAGCAUCCAUCAAGUCUUUUCAAUGAUUGCUGGAAAACCAGGCAAUAUGUGGAAGGGUCAACACUGGAGCAGUCAGUCUCUGGGCAAGUGGUUCACAGCUAAGAGUUUGUUCUGAAUCUUAGAAGAGACUUUGGACUUGGACAGAACAAGCUGUGUGAAGCAAGCUGGAGCAAUCAAGAUUUUGAAGAUUCUUACAAGACGGACAAAACAUGUUCUGCAUUUUGAGAUUGCAUGAUCCUUAGGGGCCAGGGUGGAAGGUUAUGGUUUGAAUAUGAAAUGUCUCACAUGGGCUCAGGUGGUACACACCAUGUAAGUAGUCUGAGCUGGAAAAAGCAGAUCAUUGGGGUCAUGUUUCUGAAGGUUAUACUAGUCUGUGGUCUCAUUCUCUUUCUCCUUCCUGGCUGCCAUGAUGAGAUCUACUCUGCUCUGCUCCAUACUCCCUGCUAUGAUGGACUAUGAACAAAAUAAAUCCUUCCUCCAUGA